Molecule: transfer RNA, 76 nt
Filed under: Perca flavescens (yellow perch)
Lineage: Eukaryota; Metazoa; Chordata; Actinopteri; Perciformes; Percidae
Description: tRNA-Phe
Source: RNAcentral
GUCUGGAAAUAGCUCAGUUAGGAGACUGUUAGACUAAAGAGCUAAAGGUCCCUGGUUCAAUCCUGGGAUUUGGAAG